UUUAUAAUGAGAAACGACGUUCACUGUCGCCGCCCUUCCCACAACGCCUACUAACAUCUAUGCAUCGGUGGUCAGUGUUAGUGAGGUGUGUGAAAAGAGCGGCGAUCGGAACAAUUCUAAAUAAAUAUUUGAAAAUUUAAAUUACC
Non-coding RNA from Caenorhabditis elegans, 146 nucleotides. The record is from Ensembl. NCBI's taxonomy places the organism in Eukaryota, Metazoa, Nematoda, Chromadorea, Rhabditida, Rhabditidae.